CUACGGGUGGCUGCAGUGGGGAAUAUUGCACAAUGGGCGCAAGCCUGAUGCAGCCAUGCCGCGUGUAUGAAGAAGGCCUUCGGGUUGUAAAGUACUUUCAGCGGGGAGGAAGGGAGUAAAGUUAAUACCUUUGCUCAUUGACGUUACCCGCAGAAGAAGCACCGGCUAACUCCGUGCCAGCAGCCGCGGUAAUACGGAGGGUGCAAGCGUGUAAUCGGAAUUACUGGGCGUAAAGCGCACGCAGCCGGUUUGUUAAGUCAGAUGUGAAAUCCCCGGGCUCAACCUGGGAACUGCAUCUGAUACUGGCAAGCUUGAGUCUCGUAGAGGGGGGUAGAAUUCCAGGUGUAGCGGUGAAAUGCGUAGAGAUCUGGAGGAAUACCGGUGGCGAAGGCGGCCCCCUGGACGAAGACUGACGCUCAGGUGCGAAAGCGUGGGGAGCAAACAGGAUUAGAUACCCUGGUAGUC
This 465-nucleotide ribosomal RNA is filed under the name uncultured bacterium. RNAcentral describes it as "partial 16S ribosomal RNA". It matches the Rfam family "Bacterial small subunit ribosomal RNA", at positions 339 to 795 of the family's 1533-position model. The record is from RNAcentral.